Molecule: long non-coding RNA, 943 nt
Organism: Oncorhynchus tshawytscha (Chinook salmon)
Lineage: Eukaryota; Metazoa; Chordata; Actinopteri; Salmoniformes; Salmonidae
Source: Ensembl
CUUCGAUGAGGCUCUUCCUCUUUCCUAUGUCAGAACCGAUGAAUAGGGUAAAAAUUACACCUCUUCUUUUGCUUGUCACACAAUGGGUGAAUUCUUCUGAGUGGCAGGAACAGCUAUCUCUCAUACUAUCCUUGCAUUGGUUUUUGUUUAUGCUGUAAGACAUUGCCAGAUUAUGGAAAUGCAGCUCUGAAUAGAAAAUAGAGGACUUUGUUGAAGUACCAAAGUUAAUUUGAUAAACUGAGACCCUGCAUUGUAAAGAGACAUGGAGGCUGUUUUAGGACUGUUGGUGAUGUCAGCAGGAGUGUCUCAUGGCUUGGAAACUUCCUGUGAUGCUAGAGAAGAUGGAUCUCAGUGUUAUGGAGCUCUGGGAGGAACUGUCUAUCUCCAGCUGACUGAUACCAUGGCAUAUAAUCACUACUCAUUUUAUAAAGGCUCAACUGGUGCUAAAACAGAGAUACUGAAAACAAAGGUCACACUGCUCCAGUGUCCAGUCCUCAGCUGUCCUCUGAGUGUCUGUCUCAUGGAGAGAUGAGGGUGUCCUGCUCCUCUGAGGGGGAUGGUUCCCAGUACAGCUGGACUCUGGAUCGACAGACGCUGAGACACACUAAGGCCUCUUCUGAUAACGAGACAAACACCAUCACUCUGAAGAAAGGCCUGUCAGGAAAUCUCACCUGUACCGUCAGAAACUACAUCAGCAGUGAUUCUAUCAGCAAGAGAAUCUCACCUUGUCCAGGAGUCAGUGUGUUUGUUUAUUUCCAACUCGCUGAAGUCUUCAUUCUUCUGACAGUCUGUCUGGGAUCAUACUGUUUCUACAAGAAGGAAACCUAUCAUCGUAAAGAAGUAAGCACAGAGUGUAUGCAGUCUCAGGUGGAUCAUGGUGGGACUCAGAUGAGGGUGUUAAUGUCCUGAGAGGUGCUAUGGAGACCAACUAGGCUGUGAGAUU